This 449-nucleotide ribosomal RNA is filed under the name uncultured bacterium. RNAcentral's name for it is "partial 16S ribosomal RNA". It matches the Rfam family "Bacterial small subunit ribosomal RNA", at positions 29 to 523 of the family's 1533-position model. The record is from RNAcentral.
AACGAACGCUGGCGGCAGGCCUAACACAUGCAAGUCGAACGAAGUCUUCGGACUUAGUGGCGGACGGGUGAGUAACACGUGGGAACGUGCCCUUUGGUACGGAAUAACUCAGGGAAACUUGAGCUAAUACCGUAUGUGCCCUUCGGGGGAAAGAUUUAUCGCCAUUGGAGCGGCCCGCGUCUGAUUAGCUAGUUGGUGAGGUAAAGGCUCACCAAGGCGACGAUCAGUAGCUGGUCUGAGAGGAUGAUCAGCCACAUUGGGACUGAGACACGGCCCAAACUCCUACGGGAGGCAGCAGUGGGGAAUCUUGCGCAAUGGGCGAAUGCCUGACGCAGCCAUGCCGCGUGAAUGAUGAAGGUCUUAGGAUUGUAAAAUUCUUUCACCGGGGACGAUAAUGACGGUACCCGGAGAAGAAGCCCCGGCUAACUUCGUGCCAGCCGCCGCGGUAA